This 441-nucleotide small RNA is filed under the name Histoplasma capsulatum. RNAcentral describes it as "hypothetical RNA". RNAcentral also lists the same sequence under 1 other name. Lineage: Eukaryota; Fungi; Ascomycota; Eurotiomycetes; Onygenales; Ajellomycetaceae. The record is from RNAcentral.
UCAGCCAUUCGCGCGAUCUUUGAACUAGCGCAGUGGACCAUGCGAUGUCUAUCUUAUUUGGAUGCAGGUGAGACAGACGAUUCAAUUUAACUAACUACGCAGGAUUUGAUUACACAAUUUGCCGACCUGGAAAGUUUUCAAAGGACAAAGGAAUGGUGUGUUAAGCCUGGCCCCAAGUCAAUGAAGAAAAUUGGCUAUUUGACAGUUGUAUAUUAGGUAGGCGGAGUGGAUAUUUGUGGAAGAUAUCAAAUGCCUACCGCCCUGCGAAAGUUUUCGUUCCCUUGUGAUCGGCUAUCCAGCCAUUUGAUCUUCUCAAUCUUUAGUUGCCUGCUGCCAGGUUAGCCGACAAGCUAAGCACUUUUAAACGAGGCUUAUUCAAUUUAAACUCCUGUUUCACCUUUGAACAAAACAAAGUCCUCAAAAUAAAGGGACAUGAUUUGG